RNAcentral lists this ribosomal RNA (585 nucleotides) under uncultured bacterium. RNAcentral describes it as "bacterial SSU rRNA". It matches the Rfam family "Bacterial small subunit ribosomal RNA", at positions 28 to 647 of the family's 1533-position model. The record is from RNAcentral.
AAUCAACGCUGGCGGCGCGCUUAACACAUGCAAGUCGAACGAGAAAGGGAGCAAUCCUGAGUAAAGUGGCGCACUGGUGAGUAACACGUGGAUAUCUACCUCUUGGUGGGGAAUAACCUGGGAAACCUGGGCCAAUACCGCAUAAGUUCGUGAGAAGAAAGGCGCAAGUCGCCGAGAGAGGAGUCCGCGGUCGAUUAGGUAGUUGGCGGGGUAAAAGCCCACCAAGCCGAAGAUCGAUAGCCGGCCUGAGAGGGCACACGGCCACACUGGCACUGAAACACGGGCCAGACUCCUACGGGAGGCAGCAGUGGGGAAUCUUGCACAAUGGGGGAAACCCUGAUGCAGCGACGCCGCGUGAGCGAUGAAGCCCCUUCGGGGUGUAAAGGCUCUUCGGCAGGAACGAUAAUGACGGUACCUGCAGAAGAAGCUGCGGCUAACUACGUGCCAGCAGCCGCGGUAAUACGUAGGCAGCAAGCGUUGUUCGGAAUUACUGGGCGUAAAAGAGUGUGUAGGCGGUGUCGUAAGUUUGGUGUGAAAUCUCCCGGCUUAACUGGGAGGGUGCGCUAAAGACUGCGAUGCUGGAGU